UACGGGGGGGGCAAGCGUUGUUCGGAAUUACUGGGCGUAAAGGGCUCGUAGGCGGCCAACUAAGUCAGACGUGAAAUCCCCAGGCUCAACCUGGUAACUGCGUCUGAUACUGGAUGGCUUGAAUCCGGGAGAGGGAUGCAGAAUUCCAGGUGUAGCGGUGAAAUGCGUAGAUAUCUGGAGGAAUACCGGUGGCGAAGGCGGCAUCCUGGACCGGCAUUGACGCUGAGGAGCGAAAGCCAGGGGAGCAAACGGG
This 253-nucleotide ribosomal RNA is filed under the name uncultured bacterium. Its description in RNAcentral is "partial 16S ribosomal RNA". It matches the Rfam family "Bacterial small subunit ribosomal RNA", at positions 524 to 776 of the family's 1533-position model. The record is from RNAcentral.